CGGAGAGCAGAGAGAGGAGUGUAGGAGUCAUACCUGUCAUAGUUGUUCGACUUCGAACUUCAUCGUCGAGGUGAAGCUUGCUUGUUGACAGUCGGCCUACUUGAUUCGAUCGGAGUUUUAUUUUUCUUUUGUUUCUUCUUCUGACCUUUUCCGUCUGUUUGGUAUUGAUCAGAAGUAGCUUCAUCUGCGUGAAUAUACUUGUACACGCACUCCACAAGUUCAACAU
RNAcentral lists this long non-coding RNA (226 nucleotides) under Elaeis guineensis (African oil palm). RNAcentral's name for it is "long non-coding RNA (EGUI_LNC015641)". Lineage: Eukaryota; Viridiplantae; Streptophyta; Magnoliopsida; Arecales; Arecaceae. The record is from RNAcentral.